This 1259-nucleotide small RNA is filed under the name Histoplasma capsulatum. Its description in RNAcentral is "hypothetical RNA". The record is from RNAcentral. RNAcentral also lists the same sequence under 1 other name. Lineage: Eukaryota; Fungi; Ascomycota; Eurotiomycetes; Onygenales; Ajellomycetaceae.
AAAAGCAAAAGAUGGCCCAUUUAAGGGGUUGAAACGGCCUCCACAACAGGAAGGGCUCUACCCAUCUCGUUCUCUUCUCUUGCGCUUAGCUGAAAAUAGCAAGAACGGCUUGUUCCGUAGAAUAAUGGAGGAAUCCAACAGGAAUCUGGCCUGUAUCUUGCGCGUUUCUCCAUCCGGAUUGGAAUUCCGUGAGUGGUAGCCCCAAACUUAAAGCGUAUCGAUCUGGAAGUUCUCCUGUGUUCCCUCCCCCCGCUUCCGCGACCCUAAGGAAUGCGUGACUGAGCCUGGAACACGUCAAUUGGAACUGAACGACAAACAGACACGGAGAUAACUACCCAGGAAGUGGAAUAGCGGCUGUGUACAAACUUCGGUUGUUGCGAUACCUACUAGUACAUCGGUUUUACAAGGUGUCAAUGAGAACUGCAGGUAAUCGUCGCAUGUGCUUCAAAAAGUGCUUAAAAAUAGAAGAAGCCCGACAAUUCUUUUUUGGGUAUGGUGGGACACUCUCCAUGAUGUGCAUGUAACGUACAGACAUGUGCCUGGAAAUGCGAAUGCGUUGUACUGCUCUGCAGUGGCAGACGCCAUACAUAUUUUGAAACAAAUGGAGGUGAGACCGCCAUCCUAGCGGCUAUAGAUCUGCCUUAGAGAAGGUAUUGGACGCAACGAUCAAUCGUUGCCAUCAAGAAGAGGUUUCUUACUUUUAUGUUCAUCUUAUUAAAUUUCCUCCAUUUGCAUAUCUGAUCUCAGAGAGUCAUUGGAUUGCUUUGCUAGAAUUUAUUUGCCGAAGGGUCAUCCAUCACACACAAUAGGCAAAUGAAACAUGCGCCUCAGCCCAUACUGUGAUGCAGCUAAUCCUCUACCAUUACGAUCGUGAUACCCAUCCCUUCAAACCAUAACCUCUUGCCCACACAGCAUCUUACCCAAAUAUAAUUGCUAGGCCAGGCGUACCAUUGAUGCCGUGAAUUCAGAGCAAUUUUUGUUUCCAUGUUCCUGGAAAUGAGCAGAAUUGAAUAAUAACGGCUUCCCAUUCAAACCGAUAUUCAAUAUACAAGCUGCAAUAGGGGCUACUAUAAUAAAAGCAACAUCGAACAGGAUCCACCUGUGUAUAUGGAUGAUAUAACAUUCAGAAUUUACGUGCAGCACGCCAAACUUAGCCAUCGCCAAUGGCGUCCAAGCUGCUGUUGGUAACUGCAUUCGAGCUGAUAUCAGGUUGAAGACGGGCCGGGAGAGCAACAUCGCCACAAGGCAACCAACUAGGG